AACUUGUUUCGUAUGACAAGCAAUGCUUGCCACACUCAUUAGGUGAAUUUAAAAAAAAAAAAAUUUAAUUUAAUUUAAAUUCACCUGAUGAGUGUGGCAAGCAUUGCUUGUCAUACGAAACAAGUUUG
This 128-nucleotide microRNA precursor is filed under the name Paramuricea clavata. Lineage: Eukaryota; Metazoa; Cnidaria; Anthozoa; Malacalcyonacea; Plexauridae. The record is from RNAcentral.